Molecule: long non-coding RNA, 210 nt
Filed under: Gossypium barbadense (sea-island cotton)
Lineage: Eukaryota; Viridiplantae; Streptophyta; Magnoliopsida; Malvales; Malvaceae
Description: long non-coding RNA (GBAR_LNC011384)
Source: RNAcentral
CGCCGUUGCCGGAGAUCGGCAAAUUGGUGAAUUUUGGUUUGUUAUUAUUGAUUUAACUUUGUUAGUUCUAGCUUAGUUUUUUUAUUAUUCUUUUUUAGGCCUGUUUCUAGUUUAUAAGUAGAGGUAUUCCCGAAAACGAAGAGUAUUAUUUUGAUCCUGAAAUUGAGAAAACCUUGAGGAGAAGGAGAAAUGAAUUGCGAGAGAUGGCGA